ACGGGAGGCAGCAGUGGGGGAUAUUGCACAAUGGGGGAAACCCUGAUGCAGCGACGCCGCGUGAGUGAUGAAGUAUUUCGGUAUGUAAAGCUCUAUCAGCAGGAAAGAUAAUGACGGUACCUGACUAAGAAGCACCGGCUAAAUACGUGCCAGCAGCCGCGGUAAUACGUAUGGUGCAAGCGUUAUCCGGAUUUACUGGGUGUAAAGGGAGCGUAGACGGCAUGGCAAGCCAGAUGUGAAAGGUGGGGGCUCAACUCCCAAGCUGCAUUUGGAACUGUCAAGCUAGAGUGUCGGAGAGGUAAGUGGAAUUCCUAGUGUAGCGGUGAAAUGCGUAGAUAUUAGGAGGAACACCAGUGGCGAAGGCGGCUUACUGGACGAUAACUGACGUUGAGGCUCGAAAGCGUGGGGAGCAAACAGGAUUAGAUACCCUGGUA
RNAcentral lists this ribosomal RNA (434 nucleotides) under uncultured Lachnospiraceae bacterium. RNAcentral describes it as "partial 16S ribosomal RNA". It matches the Rfam family "Bacterial small subunit ribosomal RNA", at positions 341 to 792 of the family's 1533-position model. Lineage: Bacteria; Bacillati; Bacillota; Clostridia; Lachnospirales; Lachnospiraceae. The record is from RNAcentral.